UGUGCUGUCAUCACAGUGAAGGUUCGUGAACCAAAAUACCUCGUUUUGUUGUGAUAUUCUAUUCAUCUUCAUUAAUCCUAGAGACUUCAUAAUCCGUGGUAUUUUUUCCAAAAGUACUUCAAAAUGAGUAUGAGACCUGACGACCACCGUAGGAAGUGGGACAAAGAUGAGUUCGAGAAGAUCGCUUCAGAAAGGUUGAAAGCAGAGCUAGAGGAAGAGGAGCGUUCUAAGAAGAAAGUACCUCCAGUAAAAAGAGAGCUCCUCAAGCAGCGAGAGUACAAAGUAGACUUGGACUCGAAACUCGGCAAGAGUGUUGUCAUCACAAAAAACACACCCACGUCCCAGUCUGGAGGCUACUACUGCAAUGUAUGUGACUGCGUUGUUAAGGACUCAAUUAACUUUCUGGACCAUAUCAAUGGCAAGAAGCAUCAGCGCAAUCUUGGCAUGUCUAUGAAGAUUGAAAGGAGCUCACUGGAUCAGGUGAAAGCAAGAUUCGCAAGCAACAAACGCAAGCUAGAGGAGAGGAUCCGAGAAUAUGAGCUGGACAGCCGGCUGCGCGAGGCUGCUGAAGAGGAGGCGCGUGUCAAGGAGCUGCGUCGCGAGCGCCGCCGUGACAAGAAGCGCAAGCUGCAGGAGGGUGACGAGCAAGAAGAAGAGACUCCAGCGCAGUCCGAGCUCGCUCAGAUCAUGGGCUUCUGUGGCUUCGGCGGCUCUAAGAAAUAGUGCCAGCAUGUGUUAACCACAUAUUAUACUAUAGUCAAAUAAAAUAAAAAAACUACCAUAGGGUUUACUGGUGAAACUGGUUUUUGAAAUUCGAACUAUGUGCAAAUUCCGCAAAUGUUCUUAU
This 847-nucleotide unclassified non-coding RNA is filed under the name Leguminivora glycinivorella. Its description in RNAcentral is "zinc finger matrin-type protein 2, transcript variant X2". Lineage: Eukaryota; Metazoa; Arthropoda; Insecta; Lepidoptera; Tortricidae. The record is from RNAcentral.